RNAcentral lists this long non-coding RNA (3252 nucleotides) under Brassica napus (rape). RNAcentral's name for it is "long non-coding RNA (BNAP_LNC023418)". The record is from RNAcentral. Lineage: Eukaryota; Viridiplantae; Streptophyta; Magnoliopsida; Brassicales; Brassicaceae.
AACUCUUCUUAGCCAUUGUCCCAACCUUAUAUCAGCUUCUCAUCUCUUCUGAAGCUUCAUAGAACUCUUCUUAAGAUCUUCAAGAGCUUGCCCCUAUUUAUGCACAAGCUCCAUUCUUCUCUUCAGUUCAACACUCCCCCUCAAGCUUGACUUUAGUUGAUCCUAAGUCAAGCUUGGAACCCUGAAGAACUUCCUCAUUAAAAACCUCACCAAGGAAAACCCUUUGGGACAAAACCUUGAUGAGGGAAAAAGAGUAAAGUCUCCAAGGCCUAGGGAUUGGCCAGUGAGUCUUUGUGCCUUACCAACAAUGUAAGGGACACAAAGACUCUGGAUCAUGGCCUCUACAAUCACCCCACGCCUUGUACUCUCCUUACUGCCUAAUUUGGUCUCUCCCCCUUUCACCUAACCUCUUGUUAGGUUGAAGUGCUCGGACACACCAGAUCAGCUUCUUCUUGGAGAUACAACUUCUUCUUACUGAGUCUUGGCUGCUUCUUCUUCUUCUAGAGUAACCACCAAGCUCUCUUGGAUCAUGUAAGCUUCAACACUCCCCCUCAAGCUUGAGACUCUCACAGGAACAAGCUUGAAUGGAUUGCUUCAUGAUCCACACACACACCAUUGCAGCUUCUCUUCUGAUCUUGCCAUCUUCAUGGAAUGCUUGUGGAAGCUUCAGCUAUCUCUCCAAUCACUUCACACUAGAAGCCGCCUUGAUAGAGUUGCCUUCAUCUUCUCACAGCCAAGAGUACUCUGUCUUAGUUUGAGUACUCUCUUGAAUAGACUCGCCACAGCCUAAGCCCGGAUGGCUCCUUCUUCAGAUGCUUGCAAUGGACUUCUUGGAUCGCUUGGAAGCUCACUCAACUCCCCUCCUCAAGCUUGGAUUGAGUAUAGGUCCAAGCUUGCAAGUGAGCUUCAGUGAGACUUCACACCAGUGGCGCAUCACCACUCUUGUAUCAACUCUCCAUUGCUCCACACAAUGGGCAAAGUCUUCCUCUUUCAACUCGGAUGGAUGGUGAACCAAGAACACCUCUUGUGAACCUGAAACAUCACUCAAACUCCAGCAAAGAUAAGACACAAGUGCAUUGGGUCAACCCUUGAUGCAUCAUCAAGUUUGAACACCAAUGUCUUUAAGCAAUGCAACAGAUUAAACUAGACAUUUUCAAGUUCUAAUCUUUGCAAGCAAACUCUCUAAGCACUAGCAUGAUCCUAACAGAUUCACUACAAGCUACUUAGGCAAUUUUUAAAGCUUCUUUACUCAGCAUUUAGACAUGAAUCUAAUGCUUCAAUGUAAGACAGCCAUUUGACAGUAUGCACUAACCUUAAUCAGUUUUAAUUCAUGAAUGCAACAAUACAAUUCAUCACACAUUCAUUUAUAACUUAGGCUAAGCAUUACUAUCAUCACUUAACAUCAGACAAUGCAUUACUUUCAAUCUGUUUUCAGUCCAUGAGCUUCAAACAAUAUCAUUUCACAUUUAGCAAACUCAUUACUUAACAGGAGCAAGCAUUUUACUCUUUAAACACUAAACAAGCCUUUAAAGCAUCCUGGGACAGGUUCAACUAAUUAUAUUUAGCAAUCACAUUAUCCUCAGGUUUAACAAUCACUACACAUCACAAUACACAACUCAUCUUAUCAUCUGCUCAUCAUCAAGAAGGUUUUAAGAAUCGUUUACCACAAGGAACCAGAUUGGUUCCUUAACCUUUCAUGAAACCGGCCAUGCUUUGUUGGACUUGAGAGUGUGAGUCGUCACCCACCUCCUUCACCUUCAGUUCAUGGCCUCCAUCUUGUACCAUCAGCUUCAAAGACCCCUCCUUUCUUCAUCUCCACUAGGCGCCAAGCUCUUGACACCAUCUUCUUUGGAACCGGAUGUGUUCUUCUCUUGGACAAGGCGCCUUGGUACAAGGAUAGCUAGGCCUUGUCCAUACACCUCUGCUUCCAAGGAGAAUCACCAUCAGGACAGGAAGAGAACAGGAUGAGGAACCAUGAGAACUCGCCAAGCUUCAGUCUUCUUCUUCAUAAGGAGCUGAACCGGAUGGAGAGAGCUUCAAUGGUUUGGAUUUGAGCUGAGGAGAGAGCAGUGUGUUUGCGGAAGCUUCAGCUCAGGUUCUGAUGAACCUGGCUCUGAUACCAUAUGAGAUUUGAGAGCUCUGGCUGUGUAUGUGUAUGAGAAGCCAUUAGAGGCAAAGAAUAAGGUCUUGAACUAGUUGAAUAAGAGGUCUGAUGAAACUAGUAUGAACUUGAAUCAGAAACAAAGAGACUUAGAGAGAUUAAGAGAUUAGAGACUAAGAAAGGGGUAGAUUAAGGGAAUCUGAUCAAGAACACACUUUUAUAUUUAUGAAGGAGUUGGGGAAAUCCCCCAUACUCUCUUAAGAGUUUACAAUCGACCAUACAUCAGUUUAUAUAUGUUUUCACACUCUGAAACUCAUAAACCUAAAUCUGAUGGCUCUAAAUGACUUUGGGAAAUGGAUGGCUUGGAUGAGUCUUUGGAUCUGGUCAAGGUAGACUGAAUGGUGAUUGGUUCUCCCUUGCUGGCGCCUGAUUGCUUUACUUAAAGCUCCAUGUAUCUUCCCUCUCCUUUGGCCAGAUACAUGAUCUCUUCUUUGCCUUUACUUUACAGCUCACGCCAGCUUGCACAUUUGAAUUUGAACAAGCUGUAUGGAUAAGGUUUCUUAUCCAUAAACGGUCAAGAGAGCUCAGCACCUUCCUGGUUACUUCCUAAGGCAUCUCGGACAGUAUAUGCCUUUAGGAUCUUUGCUCUCUUGCCCACUUGUUCCCCAAACCUUCUUCAUGCCUUGUAUCACAAGUCUUCAUCAGCUGAGUGUACGGAUUAGGGUUGCUUCUCUCACAUUGCGCCCUAUCUUUGCACAACUCCAAAACAUCCCAAGACUUGAUAGAAACUCUUUUGGAUCAGCCAUGUCCUUCCCGGGCCGUACCAUCCGUACAUGGCCGUACAUGGCUGUCCCUAUCUUUGCACCAUCUACCUUUCUCUCCUUAACUCAUCCAAAGACUACUCCACUUCUAUCUGAACUCUUCUUAGCCAUUGUCCCAACCUUAUAUCAGCUUCUCAUCUCUUCUGAAGCUUCAUAGAACUCUUCUUAAGAUCUUCAAGAGCUUGCCCCUAUUUAUGCACAAGCUCCAUUCUUCUCUUCAGUUCAACACAAAUGAAUUCAAGGGAAAAGAGUUCUCUAUUAUUCUCUUUGUCAAUCUCACUCUCUCCCUCACGGUUUAACCUAGUUCUUUUCUAAUCUCUUCACAAAUCC